RNAcentral lists this long non-coding RNA (1328 nucleotides) under Glycine max (soybean). Its description in RNAcentral is "long non-coding RNA (GMAX_LNC001505)". The record is from RNAcentral. Lineage: Eukaryota; Viridiplantae; Streptophyta; Magnoliopsida; Fabales; Fabaceae.
GUCCUUUAAGUUUUGUAAUUGUGUAAUUUUGAGUCCUCUCUUAAAUAUGUGAGUGAUUGUGUUGAUGCCGCACUGGAUGGAUGAUGGGACAGUUGAGGUAUUAUUUAACUUAUGUUAAUGUAAUUAUUUUUUAUUUUUUUGGAAAUAUAUAUUUUUCCUUUUAUUUUCUCUUUAAUUCAAAUUUCAAUGUUUUGUAUCUUACCUAUUGUUGUUGUCCCAAAUAUAUACAAGCAAAAGUUUAAUGUGUAAUUGAUAGCAUGGUUUGACUCACCUAUUUUCAUAUGGAUAAGAAGGGUAUUUGGCACGAAGCAUUUCGAUGAUUUGCGACCAGUGAGCUACUGUGCUUGAACAAAUAAGCCUGCCAGAUGUCUUGGGAUCCUCCAUAGCCAACAAGUGAGUAGCUAUCACAUCGUUUAUGUGUACAAACCCCACUGCUGUAUUUGGAUAUUCUCCUUUCAUGCCUGUUAAAAGAUAUGUCACCCUAAAUUUGAAAAGUGAAUCAUGCAGAAGUUUUAAGAGAAUUGAAACUAUGCAGAAUCUUAGCAUGCACUAUAGUAGAAAAUUUAAAAUAUUGAACAAGAGAUUAGCUACUCGGUGCUUAAUUAUUAUAUAUGAUAUUGCAUCCCUUUCUUAUUCAGUCGAACGUGAAGUAAAAAUGCAUAGGAACGAUUUUCAGAUAUAUGGCCCAGUAAUUUUUUUUUAUGGUAAUUCUUCAAUCUAGCCAUGACUUGAUCCGAAUAAUAGUUUUUCUUCCAAAAUAUUACCAUAAGAUUUGUUUCUUUACCUAUAGAUUCAAAAGGUCCCUCGUCUCCAUUUUUAUUGUAAAAAUGAUAACCAGAUGAUCACUCAAACAAGAAUUAAAUGAUGAAUUGUUAUUAACAACUAAGUUAAUCCUUUUUGUCACAUUAACAUUUUAAUUUAUGUAUUACAGAGUGGUUCAAUAAAUUUUUCACUUUCUCUUAACCCUUGUGUAAUAUAAUAAUUCUACUCCUACAGAAUAAUUUAUAACUCAUACAAAUGUACAGAGAAACAGGGGGAUAAAAAAGAAAAGUCAGAUAAAAUAACUCAUAUGAUGUAAGAAAAUAUAAAAAUCAAUAUAAAAAUUAUUGUAAGUAUAACAUUAUUGUUUAUAAAGUAGCAUCUCAAGGCAUAUCACAUAAACCUAACCUUUGACAAUGCUUAGUAUCAAGAGCAGUGUGCUGGUUGGCUGUGGUGCAAGCAUGGGACCAACGACGAAAGAGGGAUUAACCACCACUAGAUCCAUGCCAUUUUCUUUCGCAAUCCUCCAAGCCUCUCUCUCUGCUAUUGUCUUUGCAUAUGCAUACCAC